GCCCAGACUCCUACGGGAGGCAGCAGUGGGGAAUAUUGCACAAUGGGGGGAACCCUGAUGCAGCGACGCCGCGUGGGUGAAGAAGUCAUUCGUGACGUAAAGCCCUAUCAGCAGGGAAGAAGAUGACGGUACCUGACUAAGAAGCCCCGGCUAACUACGUGCCAGCAGCCGCGGUAAUACGUAGGGGGCAAGCGUUAUCCGGAUUUACUGGGUGUAAAGGGAGCGUAGACGGUUAUGUAAGUCUGGAGUGAAAGCCCGGGGCCCAACCCCGGGACUGCUUUGGAAACUGUGUAACUAGAGUACAGGAGGGGCAGGCGGAAUUCCUGGUGUAGCGGUGAAAUGCGUAGAUAUCAGGAGGAACACCAGUGGCGAAGGCGUCUUACUGGACCGAAACUGACGUUGAGGCUCGAAAGCGUGGGGAGCAAACAGGAUUAGAUGCCCCCGUAGC
Molecule: ribosomal RNA, 448 nt
Filed under: uncultured bacterium
Lineage: Bacteria
Description: bacterial SSU rRNA
Rfam family: Bacterial small subunit ribosomal RNA
Source: RNAcentral